GUUUCCCUGCCUGGUUCGCCAAGGUCAUACAUUCCUUGAACCGAUAAGCAAUGCUUGGUACGGGAUCAUGCAUCGUGGGCGCGCGCGUCUCCCGUGACAUAGCGUCAGGCUCGACCUGGGGCUCCCUGUCCGGCUGAUGUACCCGAAAUGAUGCUACCGUAACCGCUCUGAACCAUACUUGGGUUCAGGACUGUGGCCUAGCGGCCGAGGCGGGGACCCA
The sequence is a non-coding RNA, 220 nucleotides long. It matches the Rfam family "6S / SsrS RNA". Rfam says of the family: E. coli 6S RNA was the first non coding RNA to be sequenced, but its function was unknown until recently. It consists of 184 nucleotides that fold into an extended hairpin structure with a large single-stranded internal bulge.